RNAcentral lists this ribosomal RNA (392 nucleotides) under uncultured bacterium. RNAcentral's name for it is "partial 16S ribosomal RNA". It matches the Rfam family "Bacterial small subunit ribosomal RNA", at positions 523 to 918 of the family's 1533-position model. The record is from RNAcentral.
AUACGGAGGAUGCGAGCGUUAUCCGGAUUUAUUGGGUUUAAAGGGAGCGUAGGCGGGAGCUUAAGUCAGCGGUUAAAUGGUGCGGCUCAACCGUGCCCUGCCGUUGAAGCUGGGUUUCUUGAGAGUGCAAGAGGCGGAUGGAAUUCAUGGUGUAGCGGUGAAAUGCUUAGAUAUCAUGAAGAACUCCGAUUGCGAAGGCAGUCCGCUGGGGCACGUCUGACGCUGAUGCUCGAAGGUGCGGGAAUCGAACAGGAUUAGAUACCCUGGUAGUCCGCACGGUAAACGAUGAUUACCCGCUGUCGGCGGCAGACAGUCGGCGGCCAAGCGAAAGCGAUAAGUAAUCCACCUGGGGAGUACGCCGGCAACGGUGAAACUCAAAUGAAUUGACGGGG